This 3761-nucleotide long non-coding RNA is filed under the name Acanthaster planci (crown-of-thorns starfish). RNAcentral's name for it is "uncharacterized LOC110988823". The record is from RNAcentral. Lineage: Eukaryota; Metazoa; Echinodermata; Asteroidea; Valvatida; Acanthasteridae.
AUGUACACAAAUGUUUUGAAAUAUAUACAUGUAAGUGCAUCACAUUCAUGUGAUCAGUGUACACGUAUCUAUACAUGCAGUUUACAGCAUUUCACACAUCCAGUUUUUUUGAAACAGGGAAGAGCAGAUUCGUGUACAUGUACAUGGAUGUAAAAUAAUAUAAACUGUCAAGUACAAUUCUUAGACUAAAUUUGUUACUCAUCGUCUCACCUUGAUCAAGUUAUGCUUUAAUAGUCAAUAGUCAUGACAUUAUGGUAUUGCAAUAAAUUCAUGCAUCAUUUUACUGUGCUCUCACAGAAUUUGAGAUGACAGAAACAAAUUAUUUCCAAAACAAACUUGUGAGCAGUCACAAAACUCAAUUGCUCCUGGUCUUGAAAUCUCCAAGACCUUGAGUUACAGUUUGUUUAUGGAAUCUGAGCUGUGCAGCCCAGCCACUUCCAGUGUAAUUUCCAAAAAUGUCUGUCAGACAAAUAAUGUAUUGUUGGUUUCCCUCACAGUCUUGGACCUAGGCCAGGUCGAUGAAAUUAACCAAGGAAAAAACGUUAAUCGUUAUUCCUUCUUCACAAUUUGGAAGUGUUCCAGGAAAGAAAAUGUCUGUUUACCUGAAUCAUAUGCUGUCACAUGACAAUUGUCGCCCAGACAAGCAUGCAAGGGUUUGUCUACAUAAUAGAAGUACAGCAUGUUCACAUGAAAGGUACAUGUGAAUGGAUAUGUUACAUGCUGGACUGUCAGCACCUGUCCUUGGUAAAGUUCACCAAUUGAUGAGCAGACUGCCCUGAAUGCUUAGGUUGUUUAUUUUGAAUUUCUAAACUUGUUGGUCAUUCUAUCAUGCUUGGCCUGUCCAAUUCACAGCCAGUGAUUCUAUGCAAAUAACAUCAUUGAAACAAUCCCAUUUUAUCUUUAUUUCUUUGUAAUAGAGGUCAUUUCGGUUCUCUUAUGAUGCCAAUUUGCCCUUCAGUCGUUUCUGUUUGAUUUAUAAUAUUUCACAUGCCUGAUAAUAUUUAGUGAAAAGUGAACAUCCUGCACACGUCGUGUGAGUUGAUUCUAAGUUUUAAUGAAGAUUAAUUCCUAAAAUAAAUUUGCCUUCAAAUUUAAAGUCGACACUAUCCAUGUACAUGUACCUUCCUAGACUUGAACACCAUGCUGGAAAAAAAAACCCAAGACAGUUGUACUUGAGUGUAAAGUUUGGCAUUGACUUUUUUUUGCAUGAUUGUAUGCAUUUCUGUUUUUAUGAAAAAAUAAUUGCUUUGGAUUGUUCAAACAUUUGUGAUAUAACAAUUCUGGUUUAUAUCGUACCACAAACCUUAACUUACCUGUACAUGUACGGUACAUGUACUUUGCAACAAUGUGCCAAGUACAAUUAAAUUACAAUAUUAAACAAAAUGGUAUACUUCACACAUUGUUAAGAGCCUCCAGCGUGUUCGUGUACAAGGUUUCUGAAGUCUGGCCGACACUAAAGGUACAUGUACAUUGACACUGAUGCAAAUGUAAAGGGGGGGGAGUGUUUCAUUAAAAAAGUCCAACUAUUAAUCUGAUUUAUUAACCUUAAGUUUGAACCUGUCUUGCACUUCAAUUAAUUGUGAAAUUCUGUUUCAUAAAAUCAAUCUUAUAAGUUUGAUUGAAUAUGGGAAAAGAUUAAUAUUAAUUGUAUAAUUAAGAAAUCAAUAUUAUUGGCAGAGCCUAAAGCGCAAACUUCGACCUACAGCAACUUUGUGGCUGUCAACACCAUCGAUCUGCAUUAUAAAGACUUAAUAAUGGAGAGCAAUAGUCAAAACUUUUCCAAGUCGGCCAUCUUGUUUUUGCAGUGCGAGUGGGAAAGAAAAAAGAACGUGGAGGAAAACCAAGAAAUAAAAACUUCACAUCUACAGAAAAGCGUGUUUUGGCUGGGUUUGUAAAGGAGCAUUCACACCUACUUUUUGGAAAAGCUGGCCAAAAGGUUGAGGCGAGAAAGAAGAAAUGUUGGGUGAAGGCGGCUGAAACUCUGAGGGUUGCAGGCAGUCCUCAGACCAGUAUGGAGAGACGUGCACAAAAAACGGAACAAGCUAAAAGUGCAAGUGCACAUUUAUAAUCAAAAGAAAAUCGUUACACAAUUCUGAAUUACAAGAAUCACAAGCCACACUUGAGUUCAUUCCCAACAGUAAAAGCAACACUAGCAGCAGCAACAGCAUCAAUAGUAAAAGCAACAACAGCAGCAGCAGCAACAGCAUCAAUAGUAAAAGCAACAACAGCAUCAGUAGUAAAAGCAACGACAACAGCAGCAGCAACAGCAUCAGUAGUAAAAGCAACAACAGCAGCAGCAGCAACAGCAUCAGUAGUAAAAGCAACAACAAUAGCAGCAGCAACAGCAUCAGUAGUAAAAGCAACGACAACUGCAGCAGUAACAGCAUCAGUAGUAAAAGCAACGGCAGCAGCAACAGCAUCAGUGGUAAAAGCAAUAACACCGGCAGCAGCAACAGCAUCAAUAGUAAAACAACAACGGCAGCAGCAACAGCAUCAGUAGUAAAAGCAACAAUAGCAGCAGCAGGAAUGGCAACAGUAACAGCAACAAUAACAGCAGCAACAUCAAUAGUAAAAGCAACAAUAACAGCAGCAACGACAGCAACAGUAACAGCAACAGCAAUAGUAAAACUUUCCUUUACAACGGCCCCUCGAAGAAGCAAAAGCCACAAUCACCAAGCGGUGAGAUUGAAAAGGAUUUGUUAAUUUGAGAUUGAGAAGGUUGUCCUUGUGGGGAAAACUUUAGAUUUGAAAAGAGGAAAGUAGGAUGUUUGCAGUCUCUUACAACUUCAACAGUGUUGAAUUCUUUGCAGUAAGGAGGUUUAGGCAGCUUCAGCGGUUUUGAAUGCUGCAAUAGUUAAAGCUUGUGUUUGCCUGCUUUUUGGGUAUAUGGCUCCUUCAAAAUAGAUUUGUAAAUUGAUUUGAUGAUUUUUCUAGCAUUGUACUAGUUAUAAGCUUUCCAAUGAGAUAUUGCGCACAAAAAAUGGGCCAAUGAUAUUUCAAAUCUGUCUGAACUGGAGCAUGCUGUAUACAUGUAAAACCACUUUUAUGACCAUGUGAAGGCCUGCAAAUGCAAAAAAGCCAAGUUAUGUCUUACAGGGUAUUAUAAAUUAUUCCUUCCAAUUUGUUCAGAAAAGAAAUCAGAAUUUGUUUAAAACCGUGUAUACCAACUGUAAGUAUUAAAGGGACCAUGCAAUGACUUUUUCUCGGGUGAUGUUGAGUAUGUGAGACGUAUGCAUAGGAGUAUCUUUUUCGGCAGAAAGUAUCCAAAAAUCAGAAAUAGCUAACACAGAGUAUUCUUUCUAAAAUAUUAUUACGUUUUUCUCAUGAUUAUGGGUGUUUGUUGUAAUAUAAAAGCCAAAAAGACAUACUCUUGAAUCUAACAAGAGGAAACUUUGUUCAUUCUGUAAACAAAGAGAAAUAUGAAAAAUCUUUAUUUGAAAGAUGUAAAAGAAAUUACGGUUUUGUUCAUGAGAUGAAGAAAUGAUUGCAUUAAACUCUAAAUUAAAUAACCGGUAUUAAACUAGAUGAAGUUAAUUAAAUAGAUUAAAUUAUCUCAAAUGUUCAAUAAGCAUGUUCAAGGGUUCUUUUACUUCUAAAUACAUGUACGUCACUGAGCUGAGUAAGUUUCUAGCAUUACAAUAAUAUAAUUCUUUGUGUUAGACAAAUUUUGUUGUCAGCAUAUUGCUAAAUCUCUUCCUGUGUAUUAUAUAAGAUCCAGUGCUGUGAAAUUCAAUAUAUUAAUGAAUUUGAACUUGAAACGU